Molecule: ribosomal RNA, 467 nt
Filed under: uncultured bacterium
Lineage: Bacteria
Description: partial 16S ribosomal RNA
Rfam family: Bacterial small subunit ribosomal RNA
Source: RNAcentral
ACGAACGCUGGCGGCGUGCUUAACACAUGCAAGUCGAACGGUGAAGCUCCAGCUUGCUGGAGUGGAUCAGUGGCGAACGGGUGAGUAACACGUGAGCAACCUGCCCCUGACUCUGGAAUAAGCGCUGGAAACGGCGUCUAAUACUGGAUACGAGAAGGGUCCGCAUGGGCACUUUCUGGAAAGUUUUUCGGUUGGGGAUGGGCUCGCGGCCUAUCAGCUUGUUGGUGAGGUAAUGGCUCACCAAGGCGACGACGGGUAGCCGGCCUGAGAGGGCGACCGGCCACACUGGGACUGAGACACGGCCCAGACUCUUACGGGAGGCAGCAGUGGGGAAUAUUGCACAAUGGGCGAAAGCCUGAUGCAGCGACGCCGCGUGAGGGAUGACGGCCUUCGGGUUGUAAACCUCUUUCAGCAGGGAAGAAGCGAAAGUGACGGUACCUGCAGAAGAAGCACCGGCUAACUACGUG